This 480-nucleotide ribosomal RNA is filed under the name uncultured bacterium. Its description in RNAcentral is "partial 16S ribosomal RNA". It matches the Rfam family "Bacterial small subunit ribosomal RNA", at positions 28 to 523 of the family's 1533-position model. The record is from RNAcentral.
GACGAACGCUGGCGGCGUGCUUAACACAUGCAAGUCGAACGGAAAGGCCCAGCUUGCUGGGUGCUCGAGUGGCGAACGGGUGAGUAACACGUGGGUGAUCUGCCCCUAACUUCGGGAUAAGCUUGGGAAACUGGGUCUAAUACCGGAUAGGACAAUCGUUUAGUGUCGGUUGUGGAAAGUCUUUGCGGUUAGGGAGGAGCCCGCGUCCUAACAGCUUGGUGGUGGAGUAAUGGCCUACCAAGGCGUCGACGGGUAGCCGGCCUGAGAGGGUGGACGGCCACAUUGGGACUGAGAUACGGCCCAGACUCCUACGGGAGGCUGCAGUGGGGAAUAUUGCACAAUGGGCGCAAGGCUGAUGCAGCGACGCCGCGUGGGGGAUGACGGCCUUCGGGUUGUAAACCUCUUUCGACAGGGACGAAGCUUUGGUGACGGUACCUGUAUAAGAAGCACCGGCUAACUACGUGCCAGCCGCCGCCGUAA